This 1305-nucleotide ribosomal RNA is filed under the name metagenome. Its description in RNAcentral is "bacterial LSU rRNA". It matches the Rfam family "Bacterial large subunit ribosomal RNA", at positions 1628 to 2925 of the family's 2925-position model. The record is from RNAcentral.
UCAGCUAUACACGACCGUACCGCAAACCGACACUGGUGCGCGAGAUGAGUAUUCUAAGGCGCUUGAGAGAACUCAGGAGAAGGAACUCGGCAAAUUGACACCGUAACUUCGGAAGAAGGUGUGCCCUAUUAGUGUGAAGUGAACAACGGAGCAUGAAUGGGUUGCAAAAAAUCGGUGGCUGCGACUGUUUAUUAAAAACACAGCACUCUGCAAACACGAAAGUGGACGUAUAGGGUGUGACGCCUGCCCGGUGCUGGAAGAUUAAAUGAUGGGGUGCAAGCUCUUGAUUGAAGUCCCAGUAAACGGCGGCCGUAACUAUAACGGUCCUAAGGUAGCGAAAUUCCUUGUCGGGUAAGUUCCGACCUGCACGAAUGGCGUAACGAUGGCCACACUGUCUCCUCCUGAGACUCAGCGAAGUUGAAAUGUUUGUGAUGAUGCAAUCUCCCCGCGGAAAGACGGAAAGACCCCAUGAACCUUUACUGUAGCUUUGUAUUGGACUUUGAACAGAUCUGUGUAGGAUAGGUGGGAGGCUUUGAAGCAGGGUCGCUAGAUCUUGUGGAGCCAACGUUGAAAUACCACCCUGGUGUGUUUGAGGUUCUAACCUAGGUCCAUUAUCUGGAUCGGGGACAGUGCAUGGUAGGCAGUUUGACUGGGGCGGUCUCCUCCCAAAGCGUAACGGAGGAGUUCGAAGGUACGCUAGUUACGGUCGGACAUCGUGACGAUAGUGCAAUGGCAUAAGCGUGCUUAACUGCGAGACUGACAAGUCGAGCAGAUGCGAAAGCAGGACAUAGUGAUCCGGUGGUUCUGUAUGGAAGGGCCAUCGCUCAACGGAUAAAAGGUACUCUGGGGAUAACAGGCUGAUACCGCCCAAGAGUUCAUAUCGACGGCGGUGUUUGGCACCUCGAUGUCGGCUCAUCUCAUCCUGGGGCUGUAGCCGGUCCCAAGGGUAUGGCUGUUCGCCAUUUAAAGAGGUACGUGAGCUGGGUUUAAAACGUCGUGAGACAGUUUGGUCCCUAUCUUCCGUGGGCGCUGCAGAUUUGAGGAAGCCUGCUCCUAGUACGAGAGGACCGGAGUGGACACACCUCUGGUGUAUCGGUUGUCACGCCAGUGGCAUUGCCGAGUAGCUAAGUGUGGAAGAGAUAACCGCUGAAAGCAUCUAAGCGGGAAACUCGUUUCAAGAUGAGAUCUGCCGGGGCCUUGAGCCCCCUAAAGAGUCGUUCAAGACCAGGACGUUGAUAGGUCAGGUGUGGAAGCGCAGUAAUGCGUUAAGCUAACUGAUACUAAUUGCUCGUGCGGCUUGACCCU